GACGAACGCUGGCGGCGUGCUUAACACAUGCAAGUCGAACGGAAAGGCCCUGCUCUUGUGGGGUGCUCGAGUGGCGAACGGGUGAGUAACACGUGAGUAACCUGCCCUUGACUUUGGGAUAACUUCAGGAAACUGGGGCUAAUACCGGAUAGGAGCUCCUGCUGCAUGGUGUGGGUUGGAAAGUUUCGGCGGUUGUGGAUGGACUCGCGGCUUAGCAGCUUGUUGGUGGGGUAGUGGCUUACCAAGGCUUUGACGGGUAGCCUGCCUGAGAGGGUGACCGGCCACAUUGGGACUGAGAUACGGACCAGACUCGUACGGGAGGCAGCAGUGGGGAAUAUUGCACAAUGGGCGGAAGCCUGAUGCAGCAACGCCGCGUGCGGGAUGCCGGCCUUCGGGUUGUAAACAGCUUUCGACUGUGACGAAGAGUGAGUGACGGUAAUGGGUAAAGAAGCACCGGCUAACUACGUG
RNAcentral lists this ribosomal RNA (468 nucleotides) under uncultured bacterium. RNAcentral describes it as "partial 16S ribosomal RNA". It matches the Rfam family "Bacterial small subunit ribosomal RNA", at positions 28 to 507 of the family's 1533-position model. The record is from RNAcentral.